ACCUGGGUGGCUCAGUAGGAAGAGCAUAAGACUGUUGAUCUUGGGGUCAUGAGUUUGAGCCCCACACUGGGUA
This 73-nucleotide transfer RNA is filed under the name Felis catus (domestic cat). It matches the Rfam family "tRNA". From Rfam's summary of the family: Transfer RNA (tRNA) molecules are approximately 80 nucleotides in length. RNAcentral also lists the same sequence under 5 other names. The record is from Rfam by way of RNAcentral. Lineage: Eukaryota; Metazoa; Chordata; Mammalia; Carnivora; Felidae.